UAUUUAACUGAUAACCCACGUAAAACCUCACCAACUUUUGAUUCCAGCCUGUAUACCAUCGUCGUCAGUUUACCUUUCAAAAGCAGUAUACAAAAUGACCUUUUUUCAUAACGCCAGAUCAAGGUGCAGCUUAUAAGUUGGGGAUAAGUGAGCUACUAUAAUUUAACAAAAAAUAAAAAUAUGAAAAAAUGAAUGAAACCUCAUUUAGAAACAGAAUUCAGUAGUAACGGCUAAACAAAUAGAAAAUAACCGUGAAUACUCAGCUCUAGAAUACGC
This 276-nucleotide ribosomal RNA is filed under the name Freyella sp. CLM-2011-1. RNAcentral's name for it is "partial 12S ribosomal RNA". Lineage: Eukaryota; Metazoa; Echinodermata; Asteroidea; Brisingida; Freyellidae. The record is from RNAcentral.